This 346-nucleotide ribosomal RNA is filed under the name uncultured bacterium. RNAcentral describes it as "bacterial SSU rRNA". It matches the Rfam family "Bacterial small subunit ribosomal RNA", at positions 8 to 334 of the family's 1533-position model. The record is from RNAcentral.
AGAGUUCGAUUAUGGCUCAGGAUGAACGCUGGCGGCGUGCUUAACACAUGCAAGUCGAACGAAGCAUCUUAGACAGAAGCCUUCGGGCGGAAGACUAUGGUGACUUAGUGGCGGACGGGUGAGUAACGCGUGGGUAACCUGCCCUGUACUGGGGGACAACAGUUGGAAACGACUGCUAAUACCGCAUAAGCGCACAGCAUCGCAUGAUGCAGUGUGAAAAACUCCGGUGGUACAGGAUGGACCCGCGUCUGAUUAGCUAGUUGGUGAGGUAACGGCUUACCAAGGCAACGAUCAGUAGCCGACUUGAGAGAGUGAUCGGCCACAUUGGGACUGAGACACGGCCCAA